CUUUUAACGAGAGAGUCAAUACUAAUUGUACCAAAACAAAAUACAAUGCAUGGGAAGCUGCUUGAGCUGACAGACUUAAAACAUGUCAUGAAUACAUGUAUCGUUUGCUUGCCUUCAGAACACAAACAAUUUGAGAGAGUAUUUUGCCUUGGCAAGAUAACACAAACAAGCUGCUUGCCUCCUAUAUAAAUACUUGCUGUGAUUCCCCUGGUUCAACUGAAAGGAAAAAUAUACACCACUUAAUGUAACAAUUAUUCUCCUUCCCAACCGAGUUGGCGAGCCCGUUGCUCCCAUAAGGAAGUAAUUUUCCUCUCCCUGAUCAGCAAUGCCUCGGCCUGCUCCCUAGCUUCUUCACAUGUUUCGGUGGCAGCAUUACAUUUUUCUGCUUCUCUUUGGUAUUGGGAAGCCACCCGCUUUGCUUCAGCAAAAGUGACGUUCAUGUGAUGAAUAUGUUCUUCAGCAACAGCCUCUUGCAAUUUCAACUCUUCCGUUAGAAGGUCGACAAACUGCUUCUCCAUCUCCCUUUUGAG
This 530-nucleotide unclassified non-coding RNA is filed under the name Hevea brasiliensis (rubber tree). The record is from RNAcentral. Lineage: Eukaryota; Viridiplantae; Streptophyta; Magnoliopsida; Malpighiales; Euphorbiaceae.